RNAcentral lists this long non-coding RNA (3361 nucleotides) under Chlamydomonas reinhardtii. Its description in RNAcentral is "long non-coding RNA (CREI_LNC000146)". Lineage: Eukaryota; Viridiplantae; Chlorophyta; Chlorophyceae; Chlamydomonadales; Chlamydomonadaceae. The record is from RNAcentral.
UGGGGGCGGUGGGAGCGGUGGGGGUAGUGGGGGUAUUGGGGGCAUGUGGCACGCUUGAGCCAUAUCACAAUCACCGCGCCCAGAAUCUCUGCCAGCACCAUGAGCUCCAGGUAUGUUGCCAGAGUUGAUGUACGAGACAUCCACGCUGCAUAUGCUGCCUGUAAUGAGCAUGCCGUUUUGGAACUAGGUUCCUUACAUUUGGUAUCGAGUUAUGGUUCGGCGGGUGCCCAAGAUGCACGCUGUUGUCCAACACAGCCGACUGGUGAGCUGCGACCAGCCCUAAGCCACCACCGAUGGACUGCAUGUGCUUCCACACGGCACGCGUGGUCAUACCGCGGACAACAAGCCGCCGCAAAUACGCAGCUGCCUGGUGCCGACACGCGUUGGGGAGCCCACUUGCGAUAGCAUGGAAAGCGCACUCCCCAUUCUCCGGUGUUUCCUCGGGUUUUGCCGCCGCUAAGCCGAUAUCUACAAUGCCAAAGGGCAGCGACAUUAUACCUAGCCUUUCAUUGCGACUGAAUGAAUGACGCUUUGGCCAAAUUGGAUGGGUACCACGCGCACUAUGGUGUAGCGUCAGUUCAACCAUUCAAGGUAAAUACAUAUAUGUUCUGCGUCCUAAUCGCCGCAACAUUCGUGCAGUUGGCGCAGUCAAUUACAUGGACAACCUCAUGACUUCGAACGACCGCGCCCGUCGCGCUCUCUGCUCGCUAUUUCCUAAAUAUUGAUGUAAUCGCUAACAUGUAUUGUACUCGGUAAUCACUUCAUGAUUAACGCGCGGGGAGCGAGCGCCGCGCUCGCGCGCCUGCUACGCUCGCAUUUCCUCUCUGGUGCGCUUGCCGUGUAUUAGUUUCAUUGUUAAGUGUCGUUUAAAAGUCCGCGCGUAGGUCUGCAGCGCUCAUAGAGUUCGCUUGUGUCGCGAGUCCGAGCGCUCGCUGCGCUCGCGUUUUGCAAGGGUUAAGCGAGCCCUCUAAUUCAUUUUCGCGUGCCCUACCGUGUGGCGUUGCGGGCGGGUGCGUAACGCGUGCCUGUGAGUUGCGGUCUCCGCUGCCUACGUCCGGUCCUACCUACGGGUCGGCAGCGCUGGGUGCUAAGUGGUGUAGUCCUCCGCUCUGCUCUACGCUACGCUUCGAGGAGCUCCAGCACCAUGAGCUCCAGGUAUGUUGCCAGAGUUGAUGUACGAGACAUCCACGCUGCAUAUGCUGCCUGUAAUGAGCAUGCCGUUUUGGAACUAGGUUCCUUACAUUUGGUAUCGAGUUAUGGUUCGGCGGGUGCCCAAGAUGCACGCUGUUGUCCAACACAGCCGACUGGUGAGCUGCGACCAGCCCUAAGCCACCACCGAUGGACUGCAUGUGCUUCCACACGGCACGCGUGGUCAUACCGCGGACAACAAGCCGCCGCAAAUACGCAGCUGCCUGGUGCCGACACGCGUUGGGGAGCCCACUUGCGAUAGCAUGGAAAGCGCACUCCCCAUUCUCCGGUGUUUCCUCGGGUUUUGCCGCCGCUAAGCCGAUAUCUACAAUGCCAAAGGGCAGCGACAUUAUACCUAGCCUUUCAUUGCGACUGAAUGAAUGACGCUUUGGCCAAAUUGGAUGGGUACCACGCGCACUAUGGUGUAGCGUCAGUUCAACCAUUCAAGGUAAAUACAUAUAUGUUCUGCGUCCUAAUCGCCGCAACAUUCGUGCAGUUGGCGCAGUCAAUUACAUGGACAACCUCAUGACUUCGAACGACCGCGCCCGUCGCGCUCUCUGCUCGCUAUUUCCUAAAUAUUGAUGUAAUCGCUAACAUGUAUUGUACUCGGUAAUCACUUCAUGAUUAACGCGCGGGGAGCGAGCGCCGCGCUCGCGCGCCUGCUACGCUCGCAUUUCCUCUCUGGUGCGCUUGCCGUGUAUUAGUUUCAUUGUUAAGUGUCGUUUAAAAGUCCGCGCGUAGGUCUGCAGCGCUCAUAGAGUUCGCUUGUGUCGCGAGUCCGAGCGCUCGCUGCGCUCGCGUUUUGCAAGGGUUAAGCGAGCCCUCUAAUUCAUUUUCGCGUGCCCUACCGUGUGGCGUUGCGGGCGGGUGCGUAACGCGUGCCUGUGAGUUGCGGUCUCCGCUGCCUACGUCCGGUCCUACCUACGGGUCGGCAGCGCUGGGUGCUACAAGUCCAGCUGGCUUGAGGGGGCCGUAGCUCAUCAGCUUUCAAACACAAAAUCGUGUGAUGUGUGCGGGUGGGUGAGGGUGAGUCUGGGCGUGGGGUUGUGGGUAUGUCGCGUGGUAGACCGGCGAGGGCAGGGCACGAGCAGAGCGAGGGCGAGGGAGGAGCGUCGGAAGGGUGCAGGCACGGCGAGAGCGAGGGGUGAGGGCAGGGCAAGGGCAGGGCGAAGGCGAGGGCAGGGUUAGGGGAGGUGUAGGGCUGGGCAAGGGCUGGGCGAAGGCGGGGCGAGAUUGAGGGCGGGGCGUAGGCGGGGCAAGGGUGGGGCGAGGGCAGGGCGAGGGUGACGGCCGGGCGAAGGCAGGGCGAAAGGUAGGGCAGGGCAGUGGCGGGGUGAGGGUGAGGGCAGGGCGAGUGCGGGGCGAGGGCAGGGCAUGGGGAGAGCGAGGGGCGAGGGAGGGGCGAGGGAAGGGUGAGGGCAGGGCGAAAGCUGGGCGAGGGCAGGGCACGGGGCGGGCGAGGGCGAGGCACGAGGGAAGGAUGAGUGCAGGGCGUGUGGCGAGGGCGGGGCAAGGGCAGGGCGAAGGCGAGGGCAGGGUUAGGGGAGGGUGAAAGCUGGCAAGGGCUGGGCGAGGGCGGGGCGAAGGCAGGGGCAAAGGCAGGGGCAGGGGCAAAGGAGGGGCGAGGGCGGGCGAGGGCGGGCGAGGGCGGGGCGAGGGUAAGAGCUUCACGCGGGAAGGGCGAGAGCAGAGCAAGCACUGGGCACGGGCAGGGCCAGCGUGGGGCGAGGGUAAGAGAUACGCGCAGGCAGCGCGAGGACAAAGCACGAGCAGCACCAGGAGAGCAAGGGCGAGGGAGGAGCAAGGGAAGGGUGAUGGCAGGGCGAGAGCUGGGCGAGGACAGGGCAAGGGCAGGGCGAGGGCGGGGCAAGGUCAGUGCACGGGGAGGGCGAGAGCGGGGCAAGCGCUGGGCACAGGCAGAGUGAGUAGAGUGAGGUCGGGGCGAGGGUAAGAGCUUCGCGCAGGCAGGGCGAGGGCGGGGCACUGGGAAAGCGAGGGCGAGGGAGGAGGGAGGGAACGGCAAGGGCAGGGCGAGGGUUGGCCGAGGGCAGGGCAGGGGCUGGGUGAGGCCGAGGGUGAUGGUGAGGGAUGGGUGAGUUCGGGGCAGGGGUCGUAUCUUGUUUUGGGGGUAAUGUCUAGCUCCAGACAAAAACGGCCGGGUGGCCGCCGUCUU